CAGCCCGGUAAUUCCAGCUCCAAUAGCGUAUAUUAAAGUUGUUGCAGUUAAAAAGCUCGUAGUUGAAUUUCGGGAUUAAUAUGCUGGUCGUGCCAUUGGUACGUACUAGUAUUAUUGAUUUCUCCCUUCUGAUGAAUCAUGAUGUCAUUAAUUUGAUGUCAUGGGGAAUCAGGACUGUUACUUUGAAAAAAUUAGAGUGUUUAAAGCAGGCUCGCGCUUGAAUACAUUAGCAUGGAAUAAUGAAAUAGGACGUUUGAUUCUAUUUUGUUGGUUUCUAGGAUUGACGUAAUGAUUAAUAGGGAUAGUUGGGGGCAUUAGUAUUCAAUUGUCAGAGGUGAAAUUCUUGGAUUUAUUGAAGACUAACUACUGCGAAAGCAUUUGCCAAGGAUGUUUUCAUUAAUCAAGAACGAAAGUUAGGGGAUCGAAGACGAUCAGAUACCGUCGUAGUCUUAACCAUAAACUAUGCCGACUAGGGAUCGGAUGAUGUUAAUUUUUUAAUGACUCAUUCGGCGCCUUACG
RNAcentral lists this ribosomal RNA (519 nucleotides) under uncultured Glomus. Its description in RNAcentral is "SSU rRNA". It matches the Rfam family "Eukaryotic small subunit ribosomal RNA", at positions 571 to 1092 of the family's 1831-position model. Lineage: Eukaryota; Fungi; Glomeromycota; Glomeromycetes; Glomerales; Glomeraceae. The record is from RNAcentral.